GGCCCCUUGGUCAAGCGGUUAAGACAUCGCCCUUUCACGGCGGUAACAUGGGUUCAAAUCCCGUAGGGGUCA
This 72-nucleotide transfer RNA is filed under the name Lachnospiraceae bacterium A10. It matches the Rfam family "tRNA". From Rfam's summary of the family: Transfer RNA (tRNA) molecules are approximately 80 nucleotides in length. Their secondary structure includes four short double-helical elements and three loops (D, anti-codon, and T loops). Further hydrogen bonds mediate the characteristic L-shaped molecular structure. tRNAs have two regions of fundamental functional importance: the anti-codon, which is responsible for specific mRNA codon recognition, and the 3' end, to which the tRNAs corresponding amino acid is attached (by aminoacyl-tRNA synthetases). tRNAs cope with the degeneracy of the genetic code in two manners: having more than one tRNA (with a specific anti-codon) for a particular amino acid; and 'wobble' base-pairing, i.e. permitting non-standard base-pairing at the 3rd anti-codon position. The record is from Rfam by way of RNAcentral. RNAcentral also lists the same sequence under 2 other names. Lineage: Bacteria; Bacillati; Bacillota; Clostridia; Lachnospirales; Lachnospiraceae.